GCCCAGGUGGCGGAAUUGGUAGACGCGCUAGAUUCAGGUUCUAGUGUCUUAACGGACGUGGGAGUUCGACUCUCCCCUUGGGCACCA
This 87-nucleotide transfer RNA is filed under the name Candidatus Magnetococcus massalia. RNAcentral describes it as "magneto-ovoid bacterium MO-1 tRNA-Leu". It matches the Rfam family "tRNA". Rfam says of the family: Transfer RNA (tRNA) molecules are approximately 80 nucleotides in length. Lineage: Bacteria; Pseudomonadati; Pseudomonadota; Magnetococcia; Magnetococcales; Magnetococcaceae. The record is from RNAcentral.